This 380-nucleotide ribosomal RNA is filed under the name uncultured Bacillaceae bacterium. RNAcentral describes it as "bacterial SSU rRNA". It matches the Rfam family "Bacterial small subunit ribosomal RNA", at positions 79 to 450 of the family's 1533-position model. Lineage: Bacteria; Bacillati; Bacillota; Bacilli; Caryophanales; Bacillaceae. The record is from RNAcentral.
CUUGCUUCCGUUCGGUUAGCGGCGGACGGGUGAGUAACACGUGGGCAACCUGCCCGUAAGACCGGGAUAACUUCGGGAAACCGGAGCUAAUACCGGAUAACACCGAAGACCGCAUGGUCUUUGGUUGAAAGACGGCUUUGGCUGUCACUUACGGAUGGGCCCGCGGCGCAUUAGCUAGUUGGUGAGGUAACGGCUCACCAAGGCGACGAUGCGUAGCCGACCUGAGAGGGUGAUCGGCCACACUGGGACUGAGACCCGGCCCAGACUCCUACGGGAGGCAGCAGUAGGGAAUCUUCCGCAACGGACGAAAGUCUGACGGAGCAACGCCGCGUGAGCGAAGAAGGUCUUCGGAUUGUAAAGCUCUGUUGUUGGGGAAGAAC